AUUCUUUGGUAGUUCAUAGCAUGUUUGUUGGGUUUUCAAGUGGUUCUGUGAGAUGUGCCUCACAUAAACCUUGUUACAGCACAUUACCCGUCUAGCG
Molecule: small nucleolar RNA, 97 nt
Filed under: Erinaceus europaeus (western European hedgehog)
Lineage: Eukaryota; Metazoa; Chordata; Mammalia; Eulipotyphla; Erinaceidae
Description: Small nucleolar RNA U13
Rfam family: Small nucleolar RNA U13
Source: Rfam by way of RNAcentral